GGUGAACGCUGGCGGCGUGCCUAAUACAUGCAAGUCGAGCGAACGGACGAGAAGCUUGCUUCUCUGAUGUUAGCGGCGGACGGGUGGGUAACACGUGGAUAACCUACCUAUAAGACUGGGAUAACUUCGGGAAACCGGAGCUAAUACCGGAUAAUAUUUUGAACCGCAUGGUUCAAAAGUGAAAGACGGUCUUGCUGUCACUUAUAGAUGGAUCCGCGCUGCAUUAGCUAGUUGGUAAGGUAACGGCUUACCAAGGCAACGAUGCAUAGCCGACCUGAGAGGGUGAUCGGCCACACUGGAACUGAGACACGGUCCAGACUCCUACGGGAGGCAGCAGUAGGGAAUCUUCCGCAAUGGGCGAAAGCCUGACGGAGCAACGCCGCGUGAGUGAUGAAGGUCUUCGGAUCGUAAAACUCUGUUAUUAGGGAAGAACAUAUGUGUAAGUAACUGUGCACAUCUUGACGGUACCUAAUCAGAAAGCCACGGCUAACUACGUG
RNAcentral lists this ribosomal RNA (497 nucleotides) under uncultured bacterium. Its description in RNAcentral is "partial 16S ribosomal RNA". It matches the Rfam family "Bacterial small subunit ribosomal RNA", at positions 28 to 507 of the family's 1533-position model. The record is from RNAcentral.